This 254-nucleotide ribosomal RNA is filed under the name uncultured bacterium. RNAcentral's name for it is "partial 16S ribosomal RNA". It matches the Rfam family "Bacterial small subunit ribosomal RNA", at positions 524 to 776 of the family's 1533-position model. The record is from RNAcentral.
UACGUAGGGGGCAAGCGUUGUCCGGAUUCAUUGGGCGUAAAGAGCGUGUAGGCGGCCAGGUAGGUCGGUUGUGAAAACUGGAGGCUCAACCUUCAGAGGUCGACCGAAACCAUCUGGCUAGAGUCCGGGAGAGGAGAGUGGAAUUCCUGGUGUAGCGGUGAAAUGACGCAGAUAUCAGGAAGAACACCCGUGGCGAAAGCGGCUCUCUGGAACGGUACUGACGCUGAGACGCGAAAGCGUGGGGAGCGAACAGG